This 97-nucleotide non-coding RNA is filed under the name unclassified sequences. The record is from RNAcentral.
UCCUGUCUGCCACCGGGUAGGAAUGUGCCGGGAUUUUACAUCCCUAUAACAUUCAGCCACAUCAGUAGGUCUUAGAAGAUGGGCAAUCUUUUGUAAG